Molecule: ribosomal RNA, 401 nt
Filed under: uncultured bacterium
Lineage: Bacteria
Description: partial 16S ribosomal RNA
Rfam family: Bacterial small subunit ribosomal RNA
Source: RNAcentral
UGGGGAAUAUUGGACAAUGGGGGCAACCCUGAUCCAGCAAUGCCGCGUGUGUGAAGAAGGUUUUCGGAUUGUAAAGCACUUUCGACGGGGACGAUGAUGACGGUACCCGUAGAAGAAGCCCCGGCUAACUUCGUGCCAGCAGCCGCGGUAAUACGAAGGGGGCUAGCGUUGCUCGGAAUGACUGGGCGUAAAGGGCGUGUAGGCGGUUUGUACAGUCAGAUGUGAAAUCCCCGGGCUUAACCUGGGAGCUGCAUUUGAUACGUGCAGACUAGAGUGUGAGAGAGGGUUGUGGAAUUCCCAGUGUAGAGGUGAAAUUCGUAGAUAUUGGGAAGAACACCGGUGGCGAAGGCGGCAACCUGGCUCAUAACUGACGCUGAGGCGCGAAAGCGUGGGGAGCAAAC